AAAUAGCCCGGAUUGAAAUGAAAAGCCUUUUGCUAAAAAAAAUCUAUUUUUUUGCAGAAACAGAGCGACCAACGGAAGCUCCUGUAGCUGCGUUAAAAAUAUUUUUUUUGAGCAAAAGCUUGAAAUGGAAAGCUGGAUUAGCU
Molecule: small RNA, 143 nt
Filed under: Flavobacterium frigidimaris
Lineage: Bacteria; Pseudomonadati; Bacteroidota; Flavobacteriia; Flavobacteriales; Flavobacteriaceae
Description: Flavo-1 RNA
Rfam family: Flavo-1 RNA
Source: RNAcentral